GUCCAGACUCCUACGGGAGGCAGCAGUGGGGAAUAUUGCACAAUGGGGGAAACCCUGAUGCAGCGACGCCGCGUGAGCGAUGAAGUAUUUCGGUAUGUAAAGCUCUAUCAGCAGGGAAGAAGAUGACGGUACCUGACUAAGAAGCCCCGGCUAACUACGUGCCAGCAGCCGCGGUAAUACGUAGGGGGCAAGCGUUAUCCGGAUUUACUGGGUGUAAAGGGAGCGUAGACGGCAUGGCAAGUCAGAUGUGAAAGCCCGGGGCUCAACCCCGGGACUGCAUUUGAAACUGUCAGGCUGGAGUGCAGGAGAGGUAAGUGGAAUUCCUAGUGUAGCGGUGAAAUGCGUAGAUAUUAGGAGGAACACCAGUGGCGAAGGCGGCUUACUGGACUGUAACUGACGUUGAGGCUCGAAAGCGUGGGGAGCAAACAGGAUUAGAUACCCCCGUACA
Molecule: ribosomal RNA, 448 nt
Filed under: uncultured bacterium
Lineage: Bacteria
Description: bacterial SSU rRNA
Rfam family: Bacterial small subunit ribosomal RNA
Source: RNAcentral